GGAGAUGUAGCUCAGUAGUAGAGCACCUGUCUAGCAUGUAUGAGGCCCUGGGUUCAACCUCCAGCUCUG
This 69-nucleotide transfer RNA is filed under the name Cavia porcellus (domestic guinea pig). It matches the Rfam family "tRNA". From Rfam's summary of the family: Transfer RNA (tRNA) molecules are approximately 80 nucleotides in length. Their secondary structure includes four short double-helical elements and three loops (D, anti-codon, and T loops). The record is from Rfam by way of RNAcentral. Lineage: Eukaryota; Metazoa; Chordata; Mammalia; Rodentia; Caviidae.